This is a non-coding RNA of Oryctolagus cuniculus (rabbit), 2297 nucleotides long. Lineage: Eukaryota; Metazoa; Chordata; Mammalia; Lagomorpha; Leporidae. The record is from RefSeq and is a predicted model, not a curated record.
AAUUCUGUUUUAGGCAUUUAAUCAAUCUCUUUAUCUUCUCACUCUAAUAUUGAUGUGUUGUUAUUUUCCUUAUUCUUGUUUCUUGAAUUUCUGCACUUAUUUUUAGGCAUUUCUGAAAAGACUUGUUGGUUUUUUCCCUCAUAACUUUUAUCUUUGAACUAAACCUCUGUGGCUUAAUGGUAUGUCUGCUCUUUCAGUGAAUAUCCAGAGGUGUGUGCUGGGUUUAUCCAAGGACUCUGAUCAGUGCUCCAAUGUGGGGCACAUUAGCAGGAAGCUGUAUUAAAGCAGAGAAGCUGAGAUCUGAACUGGCACUCCAAUAUAGGAUGCCAUCUGUGGGGAGCAACUGGGAGCAACUCGGACUAGACUAAGUUACUGGAAUUAAGACUUAUUCUAUGCAUCUGCUCUCCCACAAUAUGGCGCUGAGAAGGGAGAAACAGCUUCUACACAGCUGCCUCCAGUUCAACCAAUAAACUGUAGGACCUGCUCCUGAUUGGAGGAGAGCAGCGUACUCGGCGUGUGGGUAGCAGAGUUGGGAUUGGUGGAAGAGGACUAUUAAGGAGAGAGACAACAUGCACCAGGAACAUCUAUCUGAAGGAACACCUGUGCAGCCCCCGAGAGAGCUGGCCAGCGGUGUGCCGCUCCCCCGUGGAAGUGGGGAAAGUGGCUAGGGGGAACCGCCCUUCCACGGAGGUGGAAGGGUCGGUAGCCAACCCGGGAAGAACCAGCAGCAAACCCGGGGAGGGCCGAGCAGACAAAAGAACAGCGCAGGGUCCUGUGUCGUUCCUCCACGAAGACGGGGAGCGACAUAAUGGUGCCGUGACUCAGAUAGGAAACCUAGGAGGGAAGAAACGGGAAGAAGUGGGAAAAUAUCGGAGAGAGAGACUAGCAUACAGCCUAGGGAAAAGCCGGACGAAAAAGGUGCCGGAAGAAGCUAUUGAAAGCCUAGGCAUAGACUCAGAUACGGACUACGGGGGGAAGCUGGGAGAAAUCUCUAAGGUCGAAAGCGAAAGUGAAAGCUAGAACAAACAGACUUGGAUACGGACUGUGGGGAGAAGCCAGGAGAAAUGAGGGAGGAAUAUUGUUGGAAGAAAACUUAGGGAAACAUACCGGGUAGAGAAAAAUGUUAGGGAAAUGGAAGCCGCGGGGGGGGCAGGCCGAGGCGGAAACGUAAGCCAGUUUGGAAUUCUUUAAGUCAGCCUGGGGGGCAAAAGGCGAAAAGUUAAACCAGAGGCGGAAAUGUGGGCCAGGUUGGAAUCCGUCAGAUUAGCCCGGGGAGCAAAAGACAGGAAGCCAAACCAUAAGGCGGAGACGCGUAAGCUAGGUUGAAUUCGCCAGGUUAGCCCGGGGAACUUAGAUUGAAUACCGGUGGUGGCGGAAAUGUAAGCUACGCUCUGUGACUCGCGGAAGCCACCGCGUGCAGAGAGAGCGCGCGGGGCGUGAAUAGAUAGGGAACGUGGGGCUAGUGCGAGGCCGUGCUGCAGACUCGAAGGGCGUGGAGACCGUGGAGCGCACGAAGCCAAGCCGCGCAAAGCCGGGAAGCCGCGCAGAUGAGAGAAGCGCGGGCUGAAGCGGCUCAGAGCCGGGAAGCUGCCGAGAAGCAGCCUCGGGGCGGGCGCCGGGAAGCCGCAGGGAUAAGAAAAACAGAAGUUUAGAAGUAAAAUGAGAGAAAUAGGAAUGCUGGUAGAUAGAAGUAAAAUGGGAGAGAUAGGAAUGCCCGGAGGUAGAGAAAUAGAGAAAAAUAAGGCCUCCCCUCAACAUGGCAAUGAGAGAGCUUGGAUUCGGUCUGCCUGAUUAUGGAGGUGGUGAGCACCUGUGGGCGGCUAGCAGCUUAUGAGCCGCAGGUCACCGAAGACAGGCACGAAUUAACAUCAAUAAGUCUCCCCACAAUACCGCAAUGAGAAGGCUUGGAUUCGGUCUGCCUGAUUAGUAAGGCGGUAAGCACCAGCAGGCAGCUCGACCAGAGUAUGAGCUGCAGGUCACCGAAGAUAGGCACGAAUCAACACCAAUAAGUCUCCCCACAAUACGGCAAUGAGAAGGCUUGGAUUCGGUUUGCCUGAUUGAUAGGACUUGUAAGCACCUGCAGGCAGUUCUAGCAGAGCAGAGCAUGCGCUGCAGGGCACCGAACACAGGCACGCAGCAGCGCCUAAAAACCUCCUCACAGCAUGGCGAAGAGAGGACCCAGAUUCGGUUUGCCUUAUUGGUAGGGCUUGUAAGCACCUGUGGGCAACUCUAGCAAGCAGAGCAGAGUGUGUGCCGCGGGGUACCGAAGACAGGCGCGUAUCAAUGCCAAAAUAAAA